UACGAAGGGUGCUAGCGUUGUUCGGAAUUACUGGGCGUAAAGAGCGCGUAGGCGGUUAUACAAGUCAGGGGUGAAAUCCCGGAGCUUAACUCCGGAACUGCCUUUGAAACUGUAUAGCUGGAGUGUGUGAGGGGAUAGCGGAAUUCCUAAUGUAGAGGUGAAAUUCGUAGAUAUUAGGAGGAACACCGGUGGCGAAGGCGGCUAUCUGGCACACAACUGACGCUGAGGCGCGAAAGCGUGGGGAUCAAACAGG
Molecule: ribosomal RNA, 253 nt
Filed under: uncultured bacterium
Lineage: Bacteria
Description: partial 16S ribosomal RNA
Rfam family: Bacterial small subunit ribosomal RNA
Source: RNAcentral